Long non-coding RNA from Hydra vulgaris (swiftwater hydra), 675 nucleotides. RefSeq lists it as uncharacterized. The record is from RefSeq and is a predicted model, not a curated record. NCBI's taxonomy places the organism in Eukaryota, Metazoa, Cnidaria, Hydrozoa, Anthoathecata, Hydridae.
GAAGGCUAAACUGCUCUGGAGACAAAAAAGGAAGACAGCAAAAAUGACCAGUCAAAAUAAAGAUAAAGAGACAAAAAAAUUGUGUAUAUCUUGGGGUAGAUGAUUUAUCCUCAUUUUCGUAUAAGAAAACAAUAAAUAUUAUUAAACUUUGGGAUUUAUCUGUAACUCCAAACUCUUUGCAGAAGUUCAAUAUUUGCUCUGAGAAGUUGAAUGAACAAAAUUUAUUAAAUGAUAAAGUUGUAUCCUUUAAAGAUCUGCUGGUAUUAUUGACACAAUGGGCAAGCAUUGAAGUGCAACUUGGUGAACUACAAAACACAUCAAAUCUAGUUAUAAAAAUUUGAGUAACAAAGGUAUGCUAAUUAUUGUAUUGCCUGAAAGAGUGCCACUGCCAUUAAAUGCAGCAAAGAAUUCAAGUACUCUGGAAGAAAAAGGACAAGAAAAUACUUAAGUAAAUGGUCAAUUAUUUGGCACAAAUUGGAGUUAAAGACGAAGGAGAUUGUAUAUAUUAUUUACUAAGAAUAGUUUUUUAAAAUGGCCUAGCUGUAAAAUUAAACUAUCCAGGGAGAGGACAAAAAAUUGGAAUAGGAAAAAUGUUCAUUGCAUAUGUUGCUAUUGAAACUGUGAAGUCAAAUAAGCAUGGCUUAUGCAGACAUGUGAUAGAGAUAGCGGAAGAAA